This 3355-nucleotide unclassified non-coding RNA is filed under the name Portunus trituberculatus (swimming crab). RNAcentral's name for it is "mitogen-activated protein kinase kinase kinase 7- interacting protein 3 homolog, transcript variant X15". Lineage: Eukaryota; Metazoa; Arthropoda; Malacostraca; Decapoda; Portunidae. The record is from RNAcentral.
CUCUCCCUCACUCACUUGCUCAGUCAGUGUAGUGUGGCCGCCGCGUGCGUGUGUGUGUGCGUGGUGGUCUCUCAGUGUGUGUGUGCGUGUGUGUGCGCGCUGUGGCUGGGUGGACGCUCUGGCCUAGGUGGAGCUGAAUAUUCCACCUCCACCUCCACCACUACUACACUCCUCACCACAGCAGAGUGACAUGAGGUAAAGGAGUACAGAGAAACACUGCACAUCAACAGCAAACAAAACAGUAACGAAACAAGUGCACGAUAAAGAAAACAACGUAAAAGGGGAAAAAGACUCGAGAAAUCUGAGGAAACCCAAGAGAAAACUGAAACAUUGAGAAAUAAAAGGAAAUUUCACUUAAAAGAAGAAAAUAGGAGACAAGUUCAGCGCUGUGUGGGAAAAGACUCCAUUUGUACAGGAACUUCAGAUACAAAGAAUAGAGACAAAAUAGAUAUAUAAAAGAGAAACUGUAAAAAAUAAAAACGAAAGUGAAGAAUUUUGGAAAAAGAUAAAGAAGAAAAAAAAAUCUGAGAAAAGAAAGAAAAGAGUAUUGAGAAAAAAAGUGAAAUCAGUGAAAUCAGUGGUCACCGGAAGUUUGUAAAGGAGAAAGAACAUACAAACAAACAAAGGAGAAGUUCUGCAGACAUUUCCGUGUUGAGAGGAAGUGAUACUACCAUAAGAACUACUACUACUACUACCACCAUCACUGCCAUUAUGAAGAGAAGGCGGGGAACGUGAUAUAGACAGACACACGUGAUAAAAAGAACCCUAGAGACUAGAGGACGCCAACCCAUAACUGGUGCAUGCCCUUACACCCUCACGUCCACACUGCAGCAGUUCUCCCAUGGGCAGGGCAGGCGUCACGAUGUUCACACGAAGUUUGGCCAUCAAUCAACGCUGCAGUUGACCUCGCCCUCCCCACGGCCUCAUAGUGCCCACAGAGUGAAGGGCAAGGUGGGCAGCACUGUGGGCGGGGCAGGCGUGGGUGAGUUGCCUCUGCCGCAGUAUGGAAUCAGGGCGGGUGUCGUAUAGUGACGCCCGGAACAUCCCGCACAUGCAGCUCUUCCACCACCUCAAGCAGAAGUUCCCGGACCUCAGGGACAAUGACGUCAAUGAGAGCAUACAGAAGUAUGGCCUUGACCGCGAGCGUUGCGAGGAGGAACUGUCACAGCGGACACAGGUUCACCCUGGGGGCUACUACGGGCCGUGGGGGCGCUCCUCUCCUGCCACCUCCAGGCUCACCUCCCCUGUGCGUGCCUCUACCCCCUCCACCCCCACCACCCCACUGCUUGCUUCCUCCUCCCCUGGCGUGGUGGGACCCCUGCAGCCUGGCGGGGAGUACCUGGUGUACAGCCCCGGUACAGGUGGGGGCACCACCCCAUUCUUCACAUCGACCCUGGCCACCAGCUCGACGGCGCUGCUCCCUUCCCCGGCAGGCAGCCCACUGAGCUACGGCUGGCAACCCAGUGUGGCCAAUGGUUUCCGUCCCACCUCAAGACAACCCCAGGACGGUCCCGCCAGGCUGGGGGACAUCCCACAAGGUUCCCGGGACCGGUCCAAGUCACGCUCCGGCACACCUGUCACGCCCAGCUCAGCUCCAGUGGUACCAAACUCCCACGACCCCUUCGCCUGUGAGCUGCCAGAGCGGCGGCGCAGUGCGGAGACCUGCUCUGUGGUGCAGCUGGAGGGGCUGUGCCUCUCCCCUCUCCCCCAACGCCACGCCAUGGAUCCGCCUGCUGGUUUGGCGGCCACGGCUACGGCCACCACCACCAUUAUCACAACCACCACUACCAUUGCCCCCCUCACCACCACCACUGCUACCACCACCACCACCUCCACAACCAUCAACUGUACAAACCUCAGCCCAGUCGACGGUGGCAGCAGCAACAGCAACAGCAGCACCAGCAGCAGCAGCAGUGGCAGUAGCGGCGGCGGCGGCAGUAGGAGCAGCGGCCGCCCUCCUCCAGCACUCCUGCAGGACCAGCUGAUGCGGAAGGAGCGGCUGGCAGUGGAGCUGAGCCACCAGGUGGAUGAGAAGGGGCGGUUGGAGGCAGAGGUGGAGGCCAUGGUGCGGGAGCUGCAGGCGCGGGAACAGCAGCGCAAACACAACACUGACACAAACGCAAUGAGGAUAGAGGAAGUUCAGCAGGAGAACCAGAGGCUACAGUCUGAGUGUUAUGAGAUGGAGAACAGAAUACUGCGUCUCAUGCCAGACUUUGAACUUGACAUCUACUCUAACCUGACAACACCACAGACGCCCUAUAAUGAGGGUGCACCAGUCCAGCCUCCACCACAGCUCACCAGAGGAAGCUCCGGGUCCAGCUUGGGGAGUGAAAUGGGCACCCCCAAUACUCCCAACACUCCCCACACACCUGUCUACCCCACCCGCCCAGCGCCCCCUCCCCCUGCACCCCCUCCCCCAUCCCUCCCCAACCACAGCUACAGCCAAUACCAGGGGCGAGGCGGGGAGCGGGUGGAGGAGGCGAGUCACAAGUGGGGCUGCACCAAGUGCACCUUCAUCAACCACCCUGACAUGAGCAUGUGCGAGAUGUGCGACUUUCCCCGCUUCACCAUAGGUACGACUCCCUCCCGACAGACAGCCUCUACUUCCCCCCACCACCAGGGCCCCUGCUACUGCCACCAUCGUCACCACCACCUCCAACAUACCGCAGGUCCACCCGCAGGUUCACCCAGACCCGAUGGUGCUGUCUUGCCACACACCAGCUCCUGCUCUUCCCUCCCUCUAUCGCAGGGCAAACCCAGCCUCACUAACAUCCUCAAGGACAAAUUCUUGAGCCUCAGGGACCGCCGCUCCGACAGUGUUUGAGGACUGAGGACGAUGUCUGUGUAUGUGUGUGUAUGAGAGAGAGAGAGAGAGAGAAAGAGAGAGAGAGAGAGAGAGAGAGAGAGAGAAAAGUAUAUAAAGGAAAAUAGAAAAGGGAACUGCUACAGUGAGGUUCAAGAGUUAUUUUCUUUAUAGAGCAUUCAGUAUGUUGAACAAUUUAGAAAAGAACUGAGAAUGUCUAAAACUGGAUAAUUGUAGACAUAGGACAACACAAGCACUAGGUAAACGGAUACAGUGACACACAUACAGUUUUCCCCUUUCAGCAUGCAAUCUAUAGUGAUAGAGUUAACCCUCACUUAACAUGACAAGUUUAGUAAAUUUUAUUUUGGGGUAAAGUCUUCUUCAUCUUGGUGUACAGUAAAGUCAUGCUCUGAUGAAGUGAAAAUAAUGUAAGUUGAAAGAAACUGUAAUUGGCUUCAGGUGAAGUUGACUUAGGAAAUUGUAAAUUUGUGUAUUGGAUGAGUCUGUGGAUAUUCUAUUUCUUCAUGCAAAAAUAUAAUAUUGGAUCUUGUU